UCUAAAGUUUAAAGAAUUAACUU
This 23-nucleotide small nuclear RNA is filed under the name Arabidopsis thaliana (thale cress). RNAcentral's name for it is "snRNA_02670". The record is from RNAcentral. Lineage: Eukaryota; Viridiplantae; Streptophyta; Magnoliopsida; Brassicales; Brassicaceae.